ACACGUAGGGGGCGAGCGUUGUUCGGAAUCAUUGGGCGUAAAGGGCGUGCAGGCGGUCCUGCAAGUCCGGCGUGAAAGACCCCGGCCCAACCGGGGGGACGCGCUGGAAACUGCGGGGCUUGAGUACAGGAGGGGAUGCCGGAAUUCCAGGUGUAGGGGUGAAAUCUGUAGGUAUCUGGAAGAACACCAAUGGCGAAGGCAGGCAUCUGGCCAUGUACUGACGCUGAGACGCGAAGGUGCGGGGAGCAAACAGGUUUAGAUACCCUGGUAGUCCGCACAGUAAACGAUGUGCACCAGGUGGCGGGGGGUCGACCCUCGGUACCGUAGCUAACGCAUUAAGUGCACCGCCUGGGGAGUAUGCUCGCAAGGGUGAAACUCAAAGGAAUUGACGGGG
This 394-nucleotide ribosomal RNA is filed under the name uncultured bacterium. RNAcentral's name for it is "partial 16S ribosomal RNA". It matches the Rfam family "Bacterial small subunit ribosomal RNA", at positions 523 to 918 of the family's 1533-position model. The record is from RNAcentral.